GAGACGCUGGCGGCGUGCCGUAACACAUGCAAGUCGAACGGAACUUCUUUUAAAGGAUUUCUUCGGAAUGAAUUUGAUUAAGUUUAGUGGCGGACGGGUGAGUAACGCGUGAGUAACCUGCCUCUAAGAGGGGAAUAACAUUCUGAAAAGAAUGCUAAUACCGCAUAAUAUAUAUUUAUCGCAUGGUAGAUAUAUCAAAGAUUUAUCGCUUAGAGAUGGACUCGCGUCCGAUUAGUUAGUUGGUGAGGUAACGGCUCACCAAGACCGCGAUCGGUAGCCGGACUGAGAGGUUGAACGGCCACAUUGGGACUGAGACACGGCCCAGACUCCUACGGGAGGCAGCAGUGGGGGAUAUUGCGCAAUGGGGGAAACCCUGACGCAGCAACGCCGCGUGAAGGAUGAAGGUCUUCGGAUUGUAAACUUCCUUUUAUUAAGGACGAAGAAAGUGACGGUACUUAAUGAAUAAGCUCCGGCUAACUACGUG
This 484-nucleotide ribosomal RNA is filed under the name uncultured bacterium. RNAcentral's name for it is "bacterial SSU rRNA". It matches the Rfam family "Bacterial small subunit ribosomal RNA", at positions 32 to 507 of the family's 1533-position model. The record is from RNAcentral.